UGCCCAUGACGCAUCCUUAGUCCUACGGCC
Molecule: non-coding RNA, 30 nt
Filed under: Mus musculus (house mouse)
Lineage: Eukaryota; Metazoa; Chordata; Mammalia; Rodentia; Muridae
Source: RNAcentral